AUCCAUCUGACCAGUCCCAAAUAGGAUGAAGCGCUCGUUCUGGAU
Schistosoma mansoni is the source of this 45-nucleotide non-coding RNA. Lineage: Eukaryota; Metazoa; Platyhelminthes; Trematoda; Strigeidida; Schistosomatidae. The record is from Rfam.